RNAcentral lists this small nucleolar RNA (107 nucleotides) under Sorghum bicolor (sorghum). Its description in RNAcentral is "Small nucleolar RNA snoR97". The stretch from base 26 to 107 matches the Rfam family "Small nucleolar RNA snoR97", at positions 26 to 106 of the family's 106-position model. The record is from Rfam by way of RNAcentral. Lineage: Eukaryota; Viridiplantae; Streptophyta; Magnoliopsida; Poales; Poaceae.
UCUGAAUCAGUAUCCUUGAUCUUCCAAAGCUCAGAAAGUCUGUGCUGUCAUCACCUUUGUCUUUGCUUGAAUAUCAGAGAUCGAAGUUGAAAAACAGCACAACAUAU